This 526-nucleotide unclassified non-coding RNA is filed under the name Hevea brasiliensis (rubber tree). Lineage: Eukaryota; Viridiplantae; Streptophyta; Magnoliopsida; Malpighiales; Euphorbiaceae. The record is from RNAcentral.
CUCAAUUUCUUGAUUUUGUUAACUUACUGGAGAGAUUUAUUUGAACAUCAGCUAUUACUCCUAUUUCUGCGUGAGCCUGCCGUCCUUACUCUUUUCUUUAUAGGAUUAGGUUGUCUCUGGUAGGUGUUCUCUCAGUCAUAUAUCAUCUUUUUAUCAACAAUUUUCUUCUUUCUUUUUCCUCUUUUUCUUGCGUUGUUUCGUGAAUUUCAGAUUUUUAUCACCUUUUCCUUUUGCUUUAAUGUGGGUUAGUCCUUGUUUGUUGAAAACUUUGAUUCAUUAACUAGUUUAGGAUUAGUUGAAUUAAUCUAUGUGUUCUCUUUUGCUUUCAACUUUUAUUAAUCUGUCUUAGACUAUAGUGAUAUUUUUUAGUUGGAUUACCCUAUGAGUUUCUUGGAAUCAUUUCCAGAUUUGAUCAAAUGGGUUUUGGUAAAUUCUUUCAGUGCUUCCAAUGUCGGGGGAUGUUUCAUUUUAGUUUCAUUUGCUGAUCACCUAGCGUUUUUUUGAUGCUUAUGCAGUGAUCUGACAA